CCCUUAGAUGUCCUGGGCCGCACGCGCGCCACACUGAGUGUCUGAGAUACGAGUCUGCCUAGCCGGCGAGGUCUAGGUAAUCGCUGAAAGACACAUCAUGCUUGGGAUAGAUUAUUGCAGAUAUUAAUCUUGAACGAGGAAUUCCUAGUAAGCGCAAGUCAACAGCUUGCGUUGAUUACGUCCCUGCCCUUUGUACACACCGCCCGUCGCUACUACUGAUUGGAUGUUUAAGCGAGGUUCUCGAACUGCUAGCGACUUAGCUUCGGUGAGGUCGCCGUGUGGGAAGUGAACCUAGCUUUGGUGUCUAGAGGAAGUAAAAGUCGUAUCA
RNAcentral lists this ribosomal RNA (328 nucleotides) under uncultured eukaryote. Its description in RNAcentral is "partial 18S ribosomal RNA". It matches the Rfam family "Eukaryotic small subunit ribosomal RNA", at positions 1470 to 1796 of the family's 1831-position model. The record is from RNAcentral.